AUCAAAAUUUAAAGUUUUUUUUUCAAAGUAAAACUGGCAACUUUGUUCAAAAAAUGCAUAGGCAAAAUAUAAAUAAACAAAAAGUCUUCAUUGUAGCUGAGAGGCCGUGCUAUAGCAACUAACUUUACUUUUACAAUUAAUUCAAAUCGUUUAUAUUAUUAUCGUUUCCAUCUGAUAGGUGCCAUGGCCACUGAAAAUUAUGUGCACAAAGGUGAUGUUUGCUGUUUAUUCUGCUUGCGCUAUAUAAAUAUCUAUCGUGAAAAACGGACGGAAAAUGGAAGUGCUGAGAAGUUCAAUGUCUUCUGCUACUGACCAAAAGAAGUCUUUGGUCGACGGAUAAAAUAUGGAGCACUAAAGGACCCAAAGCGGAGGUCAAAUCACUGUCAAAGAACUAAGAGCCUACCGGUUCAAAAUACAUUUUGCCGAUUCCAAUGAUGAAACUCGAGAGCGGAAGCCGGUGGAAAUUGUCUCGGCCAGAAUCAGUGUGAAUUGAGCAAUUUGCCUGCAGAGCUUUUUAAGCAAAUUGCAAUGCAAAAUACGGCCGUCACGAUCGCUAAAGAAUGGAGCAACAUUCCGAGCUCCGUGCAGCAAAUUGUGCAACAAAAAGGAAUCAGGUGACUGAGCAGGUGACUAGGGCUGAAAACGGUACAUGCGGUACAACUGAUUGUCGACAGAAACAUCCUAAUUAUAAAGAUGUCAAAGGAGAACCAAAGUUAUUGCAAAAAACAUCUCCUGGAUUCGGAGUCACUAUUGUGGUUGUGCGAAAUCACCAAGCAGAUCAGGUGGAGUAAAUUGAGGAAGCAGGAAUUAUUGAUAAACAUGUGAGACUGAACUGAUUACAUUAAAACAAAUUUAAUAAAUUCUAUGAUUCCCAUAAUAUAUUUUUCUAUGUGUCUUUUCAAUGUUUUUUGCAUGCAAAGUAUGAUUAUUAAAUUAUUUAUUAGAUAAUUAUUGUGUUUUAUUGGGAGUUCAGACGAGUAAUUCGCUAUAGCCAGCGACUACAUCC
Molecule: long non-coding RNA, 1006 nt
Organism: Armigeres subalbatus
Lineage: Eukaryota; Metazoa; Arthropoda; Insecta; Diptera; Culicidae
Exons: 3
Source: RefSeq, a predicted model, not a curated record